RNAcentral lists this ribosomal RNA (449 nucleotides) under uncultured bacterium. Its description in RNAcentral is "bacterial SSU rRNA". It matches the Rfam family "Bacterial small subunit ribosomal RNA", at positions 29 to 523 of the family's 1533-position model. The record is from RNAcentral.
AACGAACGCUGGCGGCAUGCCUAACACAUGCAAGUCGAACGAAGCCUUCGGGCUUAGUGGCGCACGGGUGCGUAACGCGUGGGAAUCUGCCCUUGGGUUCGGAAUAACAGUUAGAAAUGACUGCUAAUACCGAAUGAUGUCUUCGGACCAAAGAUUUAUCGCCCAAGGAUGAGCCCGCGUCGGAUUAGCUGGUUGGUGAGGUAAAGGCUCACCAAGGCGACGAUCCGUAGCUGGUCUGAGAGGAUGAUCAGCCACACUGGGACUGAGACACGGCCCAGACUCCUACGGGAGGCAGCAGUGGGGAAUAUUGGACAAUGGGCGAAAGCCUGAUCCAGCAAUGCCGCGUGAGUGAUGAAGGCCUUAGGGUUGUAAAGCUCUUUUACCCGGGAUGAUAAUGACAGUACCUGGAGAAUAAGCUCCGGCUAACUCCGUGCCAGCAGCCGCGGUAU